Molecule: transfer RNA, 75 nt
Filed under: Candidatus Woesearchaeota archaeon
Lineage: Archaea; Nanobdellati; Candidatus Woesearchaeota
Description: tRNA-Gln
Rfam family: tRNA
About the family: Transfer RNA (tRNA) molecules are approximately 80 nucleotides in length. Their secondary structure includes four short double-helical elements and three loops (D, anti-codon, and T loops). Further hydrogen bonds mediate the characteristic L-shaped molecular structure. tRNAs have two regions of fundamental functional importance: the anti-codon, which is responsible for specific mRNA codon recognition, and the 3' end, to which the tRNAs corresponding amino acid is attached (by aminoacyl-tRNA synthetases). tRNAs cope with the degeneracy of the genetic code in two manners: having more than one tRNA (with a specific anti-codon) for a particular amino acid; and 'wobble' base-pairing, i.e. permitting non-standard base-pairing at the 3rd anti-codon position.
Source: RNAcentral
AGCGGAGUCGCCAAGUGGUAAGGCACCGGAUUUUGAUUCCGAUAUUCGCAGGUUCGAAUCCUGCCUCCGCUGCCA